CCUACGGGAGGCAGCAGUGAGGAAUAUUGGUCAAUGGGCGCGAGCCUGAACCAGCCAAGUCGCGUGAGGGAGGACGGCCCUACGGGUUGUAAACCUCUUUUGCCGGGGAGCAACGGGCGUCACGUGUGGCGCCACUGAGAGUACCCGGAGAAAAAGCAUCGGCGAACUCCGGGCCAGCAGCCGCGGUAAUACGGGGGAUGCGAGCGUUAUCCGGAUUUAUUGGGGUUAAAGGGUGCGUAGGCGGAUCGUUAAGUCAGUGGGCAAAUUUAGGGGCGCAGCCCCUUCCCGCCAUUGAAACUGGCGGUCUUGAGUGGGAGAGAGGGAGGCGGAAUGCGUGGUGUAGCGGUGAAAUGCAUAGAGAUGACGCAGAACCCCGAGUGCGAAGGCAGCAUGUCGG
Molecule: ribosomal RNA, 397 nt
Filed under: uncultured bacterium
Lineage: Bacteria
Description: partial 16S ribosomal RNA
Rfam family: Bacterial small subunit ribosomal RNA
Source: RNAcentral